RNAcentral lists this ribosomal RNA (460 nucleotides) under uncultured bacterium. Its description in RNAcentral is "partial 16S ribosomal RNA". It matches the Rfam family "Bacterial small subunit ribosomal RNA", at positions 338 to 795 of the family's 1533-position model. The record is from RNAcentral.
CCUACGGGGGGCAGCAGUGAGGAAUAUUGGUCAAUGGACGAGAGUCUGAACCAGCCAAGUAGCGUGAAGGAUGACUGCCCUAUGGGUUGUAAACUUCUUUUAUAUGGGAAUAAAACGUUCCACGUGUGGGUUUUUGUAUGUACUUUAUGAAUAAGGAUCGGCUAACUCCGUGCCAGCAGCCGCGGUAAUACGGAGGAUCCGAGCGUUAUCCGGAUUUAUUGGGUUUAAAGGGAGCGUAGAUGGAUUGUUAAGUCAGUUGUGAAAGUUUGCGGCUCAACCGUAAAAUUGCAGUUGAAACUGGCAGUCUUGAGUACAGUAGAGGUGGGCGGAAUUCGUGGUGUAGCGGUGAAAUGCUUAGAUAUCACGAAGAACUCCGAUUGCGAAGGAAGCUUACUAGACUGCAACUGACAUUGAGGCUCGAAAGUGUGGGUAUCAAACAGGAUUAGAUACCCUGGUAGUC